GACGAACGCUGGCGGCGUGCCUAAUACAUGCAAGUCGAACGCAGUGGGGACGGGUGAGUAACACGUGGGUAACCUCCCAUCAGAGGGGAUAACACUUGGAAACAGGUGCUAAACCGAUAUCGAUGGAUGGACCCGCGGUGCAUUAGCUAGUGGGGGAGGUAACGGCUCACCAAGGCCACGAUGCAUAGCCGGCCUGAGAGGAUGAGCGGCCACACUGGUACUGAGACACGGCCCAUACUCCGCCGUGAGGCAGCAGUGGGGAAUCUUCGGCAAUGGACGAAAGGCUGACCGAGCAACGCCGCGUGAGUGAAGAAGGUUUUCGGAUCGUAAAACUCUGUUGUGAGAGAAGCGGUAUCUAACCAGAAAGCCACGGCUAACUACGUGCCAGCAGCCGCGGUAAUUC
RNAcentral lists this ribosomal RNA (403 nucleotides) under uncultured bacterium. Its description in RNAcentral is "partial 16S ribosomal RNA". It matches the Rfam family "Bacterial small subunit ribosomal RNA", at positions 28 to 526 of the family's 1533-position model. The record is from RNAcentral.